GGGUCGCAAGCCAUGGAUGGAGGGUUAGGAAGCAUCCGUUGAGGCUACUGUGUGGCGAUUUAAGAAGAUUAAGGACGAAGACAUAUACUGUUUGGAGUUUCGAAGGCCUUUAGUGAAGGAAAAAAAGGUGAGUGAGUUUGGUUAAUUCCUUCUGUAAAUUCCCAAUUUGGUGAGGAUUGAAGUCUGCUAUUUCCUUUGACGAGGAUUGAUCCUGUUGCAUUGUUCUGUUAAAUUCCUUUUCCACCUUUGUUUUGUUAAUUUAGAUUCNGAGGACCUUUUCUUUUCCCCCUUGGUAAGGAGCAAGUAAAUCUGGUUUCAUUUUCAAUUAGUAUGUCUGUUUCAUAUCAUAGCAUAAUGAUGAUUCAGAGUCUUAUCACUCAAUUAUAGAACCCUUUUUUCCUGUAACUUUGACAGUUUUCAAUGCAGUACAAGAUUAAGGUUCAUUAAAAUUUUAGAUAAUAAAUAAGGUAAGUGCUUUGCUAAGUUGAGACAACAUGGUUACAGGGUAACACAUUAAGUUUCUCAUAAUCGGGAUGCAUAAUGUGACACCUGGAGAAAAUGUAUUUUCAAGUUUCUAUUAUUUUCUUUAGUCUGCAGUCACUAUUGUGAAAUUUCAAAAAAGUCGGGGUAGUGUAA
This 636-nucleotide long non-coding RNA is filed under the name Vigna radiata. RNAcentral describes it as "long non-coding RNA (VRAD_LNC005133)". Lineage: Eukaryota; Viridiplantae; Streptophyta; Magnoliopsida; Fabales; Fabaceae. The record is from RNAcentral.